GACGAACGCUGGCGGCGUGCUUAACACAUGCAAGUCGAACGGAAAGGCCCCUUUGGGGGUACUCGAGUGGCGAACGGGUGAGUAACACGUGAGUAACCUGCCCUUGACUUCGGGAUAACUUCAGGAAACUGGGGCUAAUACCGGAUAGGAAUCCUUGCUGCAUGCUGGGGGUUGGAAAGCUUCGGCGGUUUUGGAUGGACUCGCGGCUUAUCAGCUUGUUGGUGGGGUAGUGGCUUACCAAGGCUUUGACGGGUAGCCGGCCUGAGAGGGCGACCGGCCACAUUGGGACUGAGAUACGGCCCAGACUCCUACGGGAGGCAGCAGUGGGGAAUAUUGCACAAUGGGCGGAAGCCUGAUGCAGCAACGCCGCGUGCGGGAUGACGGCCUUCGGGUUGUAAACCGCUUUCAGCAGGGGCGAAGCUUGUGGUGACGGUACCUGCAGAAGAAGCACCGGCUAACUACGUG
This 465-nucleotide ribosomal RNA is filed under the name uncultured bacterium. Its description in RNAcentral is "partial 16S ribosomal RNA". It matches the Rfam family "Bacterial small subunit ribosomal RNA", at positions 28 to 507 of the family's 1533-position model. The record is from RNAcentral.